AAGACAUUAGUAAAAUAAUAACAUAACUUUG
This 31-nucleotide transfer RNA is filed under the name Dremomys rufigenis belfieldi. RNAcentral describes it as "partial tRNA-Asp". Lineage: Eukaryota; Metazoa; Chordata; Mammalia; Rodentia; Sciuridae. The record is from RNAcentral.